This is a long non-coding RNA of Felis catus (domestic cat), 2228 nucleotides long. RefSeq lists it as uncharacterized. NCBI's taxonomy places the organism in Eukaryota, Metazoa, Chordata, Mammalia, Carnivora, Felidae. The record is from RefSeq and is a predicted model, not a curated record. The transcript has 2 exons.
CUGAAAAAAUAUCAGAGGUGGAACUGUAAGACUUGUCAUAAGCUUGAAAUAUGAGGGACCAGAGACCAUCAGUUGAGAAAAACAGUUGGUAGAGAAGGUGUAAUGGAGGUAAGAAAAAGGCAAAGCUUCCAUCAGAAAUGUUGAUGUGGGAGAGAAGAAGUCACCAAGUAGUCAACAGAGAAGCCAGAUUUCUCACAAUGCUCCCACUGAAAUUCAGGGCCACAUGGAUCUUUGCUCUAGAUACUCUUUUGCUUGAAAUAAUCUGAGUAAGUGAUGGGUCUCUAUCCAUUCAACUAAAGUUAAGCAACAGGUUUAGUUUAGGAACAAUUUCACAGCCAUACAAAAGAGGCUAUGACUUUUCUCACAGCGCAGUCACAUGAGAAACUUCCAGUGAUUCCAUAUGGACAAGUACCUGACAUAUUAGGAGAAGAGAAUGUGCACCAAAACUAAAGAGAUUAAAGCUUUUCUGCUGGUGUCUAUGGGAGACUCUGAAAACACUAUGUUGUACUUCCUUGAAAACCAAAGCAGAUAAGAAGGAAGUAAUAACAACUGGAUUCUCUUGACAGUAGAGAGGCCUUAUCUGGCACCUGGUUAGGAGUGGUCAAAAACAAUAGAAAUUUCAAGGGAAAUGUCAAAAUUUAAGGCACACAAGGAAUCCUCUAUACCUAAUCCAAAGAGAGGAGUUAGGCUACAGUGAGAUCAGAGGGAGAAGACUGAACCAAAAGAAUAGGGUUUUUUUUUUUAUUUAUUUAUGACCCUAUAAUCCACCAGCUAUGGCCAUAGAAAUGGAAAUCCACUGUAAAGGUAUUUCUCCUAAAACUCUGGUAAAAGCAACAGUGGACCAAGAGAUGGUAUCAGGUUAUUCCUUAAAGUAUGUGAUGGAAACACCUAAGCAUACCAGUAAACCCAGGGCUCUUUAAUUAGAUUCGAGCAGACAAUCUGGAUUCUACAUUUAAAUUUUUCUGUUGUCUCAUACUCUCCUUGGUGUUUCUGGCUUUAAAAAUGCCAAGAUCCCAUAUUGCAUGCAUGCUUAAAAGAUGGAUGUAAGACAAACUCUUUCAACAGGUGGUAACUAGACAUUGUGGUGGCCAUUUCAUAGUGUAUAUAGUUAUCAAAUCACUAUGUUGUACACCUGAAACUAAUGCAAUAUUACAUGUCAAUUAUUCUUCAAUUAAAAAAAAAAAGACAAACUUUCCUGGGAAAUACUUCCGAGAGUGAAGAAAUGAACAGCAUAAUGACAACAAAAGCACAUUUUGCUUAUUUUGAAGGGACAACAGUGGGUUGGAAUUUAUCCAUCCUCACUCUCCAGGUCUCUCAGAAUAAUCAUUAGAAAAAAAUACGCCAGGUCGCAUCUGCUUUGAGGUACAGUUUUAUAAACCAGAGGUAAUCAGAUUAUAAAGAGUUCUCAACAAAAGUUUCCUGUUUUAUCUCUACUGCUUGCUACCUGUAGUCCAAAGUUUAAGGGGACUCUUGAAGUACACUUGCAAAGUGGAUCCUGUCCAGCAAAUAGCAGAAGAGGAUUCAAUAAAAUGACUGCCCAAGCCUCCCAGAACAGGUGACAGGAGUGUCAGGAAUUUGGAGUAGACAUUCAAUCCAGCAGGGAAGCUACAGUGUUUACUAACUGCAAUGGCAGCUACAAUCCCUCGAUUUGAGAUAUGCCUUCAACUAGGUGAUGCCAACUUUCCUUCCAGAUGGCUGUUAAGCACCCACAACCAACGACUGACACAGCUUCUGGCAGCAGUUGGGAAGAGCUGUGAGCGAUGUCGUCCCGAGGAGAAAGCCAGCAAAAUCACAUUUUCAAUACAGUUAUUCUCAAGCACAAGAAGAGUUCUAUUUUUAUUAACAGGGCCAUUUAAAAUAGGCAUGAAAUUAAUUUAUUGCUACACUGGUUAAAAAUAUUUACUUUUUUAUUAGUUUUGCAGUUGGCAUAAAUCCGUUUUGCUGUAAGAAAUCAGGAUGGCGAGCAGGCAAUGAACAAGGAAAGACUACAUAGCCCCAUCAGAGCAAGUGUUUGGCAAGGUUAUUGGUACUCCUGCCCAAGAAGCGAGCAGUUAGGCACAAAGCAUGUGCUAAAUCCAUAAUUUCUGUGCUCUGGAUGCAAUAGGAAGACUAGGGAGACUCUUAGCUCCAUGCAAUGAAACUCAGAUAGACAUUUCCCUUGUCCCUUGCACAACUUCUAACUGGCAGUGAGCAGUUCUACCAUUAAAAAACUGAAGAAGCAUAACUUA